This 375-nucleotide ribosomal RNA is filed under the name uncultured eukaryote. Its description in RNAcentral is "partial 18S ribosomal RNA". It matches the Rfam family "Eukaryotic small subunit ribosomal RNA", at positions 592 to 976 of the family's 1831-position model. The record is from RNAcentral.
CAAUAGCGUAUAUUUAAGUUGUUGCAGUUAAAAAGCUCGUAGUUGGAUUUCGGUUAAGAGCGACCGGUCCGCCGUUUGGUGUGCACUGGUUGGUUUUAACUUCCUGUAGAGGACGUGCUCUGGGUUUAACGACCUGGACUCGGAGUCUACGUGGUUACUUUGAAAAAAUUAGAGUGUUCAAAGCGGGCUUACGCUUGAAUAUUUCAGCAUGGAAUAACACUAUAGGACUCCUGUCCUAUUUCGUUGGUCUCGGGACGGGAGUAAUGAUUAAGAGGAACAGUUGGGGGCAUUCGUAUUUCAUUGUCAGAGGUGAAAUUCUUGGAUUUAUGAAAGACGAACUUCUGCGAAAGCAUCUGCCAAGGAUGUUUUCAUUAA